GACGCUGGCGGCAUGCCUAAUACAUGCAAGUCGAACGAGAUCUUCGGAUCUAGUGGCGCACGGGUGCGUAACGCGUGGGAAUCUGCCCUUGGGUUCGGAAUAACAGUUGGAAACGACUGCUAAUACCGGAUGAUGACGAAAGUCCAAAGAUUUAUCGCCCAGGGAUGAGCCCGCGUAGGAUUAGCUAGUUGGUGAGGUAAAGGCUCACCAAGGCGACGAUCCUUAGCUGGUCUGAGAGGAUGAUCAGCCACACUGGGACUGAGACACGGCCCAGACUCCUACGGGAGGCAGCAGUAGGGAAUAUUGGACAAUGGGGGCAACCCUGAUCCAGCAAUGCCGCGUGAGUGAUGAAGGCCUUAGGGUUGUAAAGCUCUUUUACCCGGGAUGAUAAUGACAGUACCGGGAGAAUAAGCUCCGGCUAACUCCGUGCCAGCAGCCGCGGUAAUACGGAGGGAGCUAGCGUUGUUCGGAAUUACUGGGCGUAAAGCGCACGUAGGCGGCGAUUAAAGUCAGAGGUGAAAGCCCGGGGCUCACCCGGAA
This 540-nucleotide ribosomal RNA is filed under the name Sphingomonas sp. HS372. RNAcentral describes it as "bacterial SSU rRNA". It matches the Rfam family "Bacterial small subunit ribosomal RNA", at positions 32 to 620 of the family's 1533-position model. The record is from RNAcentral. Lineage: Bacteria; Pseudomonadati; Pseudomonadota; Alphaproteobacteria; Sphingomonadales; Sphingomonadaceae.